UUCCGGUUGAUCCUGCCGGACCUGACUGCUAUCGGAUUGAUACUAAGCCAUGCGAGUCAUUGUAGCAAUACAAGGCAGACGGCUCAGUAACGCGUAGUCAACCUAACCUAUGGACGGGAGUAACCUCGGGAAACUGAGAAUAAUGCCCGAUAGAACACUAUAUCUGGAAUGGUUUGUGUUCCAAAUGAUUUAUCGCCGUAGGAUGGGACUGCGGCCUAUCAGUUUGUUGGUGAGGUAAUGGCCCACCAAGACUAUUACAGGUACGGGCUCUGAGAGGAGUAGCCCGGAGAUGGGUACUGAGACACGGACCCAGGCCCUAUGGGGCGCAGCAGGCGAGAAAACUUUGCAAUGUGCGAAAGCACGACAAGGUUAAUCCGAGUGGUUUCUGCUAAAGGAACCUUUUGUUAGUCCUAGAAACACUAACGAAUAAGGGGUGGGCAAGUUCUGGUGUCAGCCGCCGCGGUAAAACCAGCACCUCAAGUGGUCAGGAUGAUUAUUGGGCCUAAAGCAUCCGUAGCCGGCUCUGUAAGUUUUCGGUUAAAUCUGUACGCUCAACGUACAGGCUGCCGGGAAUACUGCAGAGCUAGGGAGUGGGAGAGGUAGACGGUACUCGGGAGGAAGUGGUAAAAUGCUUUGAUCUCUCG
RNAcentral lists this ribosomal RNA (644 nucleotides) under uncultured archaeon. RNAcentral's name for it is "bacterial SSU rRNA". It matches the Rfam family "Archaeal small subunit ribosomal RNA", at positions 1 to 652 of the family's 1478-position model. The record is from RNAcentral.